AUUGAACGCUGGCGGCACGCUUAACACAUGCAAGUCGAACGGCAGCGGGGGGAGCUUGCUCCCUGCCGGCGAGUGGCGAACGGGUGAGUAACGCGUAGGGGUCUGCCUGUUAGAGGGGGAUAAGCCGUGGAAACGCGGUCUAAUACCGCAUACGCUCUAAGGAGGAAAGUAUGGGACCGAAAGGCCAUACGCUAACAGAUGAACCUGCGUUAGAUUAGCUAGUUGGUAGGGUAAAGGCCUACCAAGGCGACGAUCUAUAGCUGGUCUGAGAGGAUGACCAGCCACACUGGAACUGAGAUACGGACCAGACUCCUACGGGAGGCAGCAGUGGGGAAUAUUGGACAAUGGGGGCAACCCUGAUUCAGCGAUGCCGCGUGUGUGAAGAAGGCCUGAGGGUUGUAAAGCACUUUAGUUGGGGAGGAAAGCCUGAGGAUGAAUAAGCCUUAGGGGAGACGUUACCCAAAGAAUAAGCACCGGCUAACUCUGUGCCAGCAGCCGCCGUAA
This 504-nucleotide ribosomal RNA is filed under the name uncultured bacterium. Its description in RNAcentral is "partial 16S ribosomal RNA". It matches the Rfam family "Bacterial small subunit ribosomal RNA", at positions 29 to 523 of the family's 1533-position model. The record is from RNAcentral.